This 505-nucleotide non-coding RNA is filed under the name Pongo abelii (Sumatran orangutan). The record is from RNAcentral. Lineage: Eukaryota; Metazoa; Chordata; Mammalia; Primates; Hominidae.
AGACUCAUCUGCGGGAGAGGAGAAUAGCUGCACUCUAAGCAGUUCGCAGGGAGCAUCUUUGAGCAGCUGGAACAGCUUUGCGGCCUUGCUGUAAUGAAGAUCUGCCAGCACCCGGUGUUGUUUCCUAAGGUGUUCAUCACCAACCUAGAACCAAACCAAAACAAGCAACAAAUCCUUCACGAGAAAGAAAGAAAACAACUGUGUAAGCAGACAUCAGUGUAAACCCUAGCACUGUCUCUUGAUGAGAUAAGAGGAGGAUGGCAGUGACAGGAGUGUGGUGGCAAGCCAGUCACCUGCAGUCAACCGCGGCUCAUUGCUCUCACCACGCCUGUUACAUGAAGGUAUGUAUGUAUAGGAAAAAGCACAGAAAAACUCUCCAGUUUCAGGCAUCCACUGGGGAUCUUGGAACACAUCCUCCAAGGACAAGUGGGGUCUACUGUACAACACUUAAGUAUAACCCUCUUCACUAUUAAUCAAAUGAUAUUAAAAUAAGCAAAGAAAAACA